Molecule: ribosomal RNA, 49 nt
Filed under: Urodon capitatus
Lineage: Eukaryota; Viridiplantae; Streptophyta; Magnoliopsida; Fabales; Fabaceae
Also listed under: 1 other name
Description: partial 26S ribosomal RNA
Source: RNAcentral
GAGACCUCAGGUCAGGCGGGGCUACCCGCUGAGUUAAGCAUAUCAAUAA